RNAcentral lists this transfer RNA (85 nucleotides) under Felis catus (domestic cat). It matches the Rfam family "tRNA". From Rfam's summary of the family: Transfer RNA (tRNA) molecules are approximately 80 nucleotides in length. Their secondary structure includes four short double-helical elements and three loops (D, anti-codon, and T loops). Further hydrogen bonds mediate the characteristic L-shaped molecular structure. tRNAs have two regions of fundamental functional importance: the anti-codon, which is responsible for specific mRNA codon recognition, and the 3' end, to which the tRNAs corresponding amino acid is attached (by aminoacyl-tRNA synthetases). tRNAs cope with the degeneracy of the genetic code in two manners: having more than one tRNA (with a specific anti-codon) for a particular amino acid; and 'wobble' base-pairing, i.e. permitting non-standard base-pairing at the 3rd anti-codon position. The record is from Rfam by way of RNAcentral. Lineage: Eukaryota; Metazoa; Chordata; Mammalia; Carnivora; Felidae.
GCCUGGGUGGCUCAGUUGGUUAAGUAUCUGACUUCAGCUCAAAUCAUAAUUUCACGGUUCAUGGGUUCGAGCCCCAUGUCAGGCU